GGGCGUUGGGGGGUCUAUACAUGCAGUAGAACGCUGAAGAGAGGAGCUUGCUCUUCUUGGAUGAGUUGCGAACGGGUGAGUAACGCGUAGGUAACCUGCCUUGUAGCGGGGGAUAACUAUUGGAAACGAUAGCUAAUACCGCAUAACAAUGGAUGACACAUGUCAUUUAUUUGAAAGGGGCAAUUGCUCCACUACAAGAUGGACCUGCGUUGUAUUAGCUAGUAGGUGAGGUAAUGGCUCACCUAGGCGACGAUACAUAGCCGACCUGAGAGGGUGAUCGGCCACACUGGGACUGAGACACGGCCCAGACUCCUACGGGAGGCAGCAGUAGGGAAUCUUCGGCAAUGGGGGCAACCCUGACCGAGCAACGCCGCGUGAGUGAAGAAGGUUUUCGGAUCGUAAAGCUCUGUUGUAAGUCAAGAACGGGUGUGAGAGUGGAAAGUUCACACUGUGACGGUAGCUUACCAGAAAGGGACGGCUAACUACGUGCCAGCAGCCGCGGUAAUACGUAGGUCCCGAGCGUUGUCCGGAUUUAUUGGGCGUAAAGCGAGCGCAGGCGGUUUGAUAAGUCUGAAGUUAAAGGCUGUGGCUCAACCAUAGUUCGCUUUGGAAACUGUCAAACUUGAGUGCAGAAGGGGAGAGUGGAAUUCCAUGUGUAGCGGUGAAAUGCGUAGAUAUAUGGAGGAACACCGGUGGCGAAAGCGGCUCUCUGGUCUGUAACUGACGCUGAGGCUCGAAAGCGUGGGGAGCGAACAGGAUUAGAUACCCUGGUAGUCCACGCCGUAAACGAUGAGUGCUAGGUGUUGGAUCCUUUCCGGGAUUCAGUGCCGCAGCUAACGCAUUAAGCACUCCGCCUGGGGAGUACGACCGCAAGGUUGAAACUCAAAGGAAUUGACGGGGGCCCGCACAAGCGGUGGAGCAUGUGGUUUAAUUCGAAGCAACGCGAAGAACCUUACCAGGUCUUGACAUCCCGAUGCUAUUUCUAGAGAUAGAAAGUUACUUCGGUACAUCGGUGACAGGUGGUGCAUGGUUGUCGUCAGCUCGUGUCGUGAGAUGUUGGGUUAAGUCCCGCAACGAGCGCAACCCCUAUUGUUAGUUGCCAUCAUUCAGUUGGGCACUCUAGCGAGACUGCCGGUAAUAAACCGGAGGAAGGUGGGGAUGACGUCAAAUCAUCAUGCCCCUUAUGACCUGGGCUACACACGUGCUACAAUGGUUGGUACAACGAGUUGCGAGUCGGUGACGGCGAGCUAAUCUCUUAAAGCCAAUCUCAGUUCGGAUUGUAGGCUGCAACUCGCCUACAUGAAGUCGGAAUCGCUAGUAAUCGCGGAUCAGCACGCCGCGGUGAAUACGUUCCCGGGCCUUGUACACACCGCCCGUCACACCACGAGAGUUUGUAACACCCGAAGUCGGUGAGGUAACCUUUUGGAGCCAGCCGCUAAGUGAACAAGUU
RNAcentral lists this ribosomal RNA (1450 nucleotides) under Streptococcus thermophilus. Its description in RNAcentral is "bacterial SSU rRNA". It matches the Rfam family "Bacterial small subunit ribosomal RNA". Lineage: Bacteria; Bacillati; Bacillota; Bacilli; Lactobacillales; Streptococcaceae. The record is from RNAcentral.